GUUUAUGGCCAUACCACCCUGAACACGCCCGAUCUCGGAAGCUAAGCAGGGUCGGGCCUGGUUAGUACUUGGAUGGGAGACCGCCUGGGAAUACCAGGUGCUGUAAGCU
Molecule: ribosomal RNA, 109 nt
Filed under: Scleropages formosus (Asian bonytongue)
Lineage: Eukaryota; Metazoa; Chordata; Actinopteri; Osteoglossiformes; Osteoglossidae
Source: RNAcentral